Molecule: long non-coding RNA, 632 nt
Organism: Papaver somniferum (opium poppy)
Lineage: Eukaryota; Viridiplantae; Streptophyta; Magnoliopsida; Ranunculales; Papaveraceae
Exons: 2
Source: RefSeq, a predicted model, not a curated record
GCAUGCUUGACACCUGUUGGACAUAAGCAAGGGGUGUACAUGGUGUUAAAAAAAUCGAGAAGGGAGGGAUUACUUUUCUUCAUUUCAUCUUCCCUGAUAAUUUUUGAAACAAGACGAUUGAGAUCAUACUUAGGGAAAUUUGUGAAAAUUUGAUUAGUGUUCUUGGUUUGUUUCAUGAAGGAAAUCAACUUCGUACUGUGUAAAUUGAAUUCAAGAACCCCAAGAUCAAAAAACGGGCCUAUGCCUAGCAUCAAAAAAAAAAAAGAACCCCAAGAUCAAAGAUUUCGUAGAAUAGAUCUAAUGGACUAGCAACAGAGCUUGGAAAUUGCAUAAAUAUGAUGCUGUCUAUAUAAUAUCUAAAGAUGCAAAAGAGUAUGAAUUGAAGUGUUAUUUGAAAGCUUGUACCGAAAUUAGACGGGCAGUCCCGGUGCUGUGCUUAGUGUGUGAGCUUAUUUAUCAUUUGCUUUAGCCAUUGCUGAUACCAGAAAGUUGCACAUAAAAUCAUUUUUAUGAGUAUCUAUGGAGUAGAUACUGGAUAGUAUGAUGCGAAUACAUUAUGUGAGUAGUAAUUGCCUUAAAUAAUGUUUUAAGGAUUAUAUUGGAGUUUACUGAAUGAUUUUUAUUUAAAUGCA